Molecule: non-coding RNA, 69 nt
Organism: Bos taurus (domestic cattle)
Lineage: Eukaryota; Metazoa; Chordata; Mammalia; Artiodactyla; Bovidae
Source: Rfam
CCUGAUGGCUGAGUCGGUAAAGAAUCUGCUUGCAAUGCAGGAGACCAGAGUUCGAUCCCUGGGUCAGGA